CCUACGGGAGGCAGCAGUGGGGAAUAUUGGACAAUGGGCGAAAGCCUGAUCCAGCAAUGCCGCGUGAGUGAUGAAGGCCUUAGGGUCGUAAAGCUCUUUUACCAGGGAUGAUAAUGACAGUACCUGGAGAAUAAGCUCCGGCUAACUCCGUGCCAGCAGCCGCGGUAAUACGGAGGGAGCUAGCGUUGUUCGGAAUUACUGGGCGUAAAGCGUGCGUAGGCGGUUAUUCAAGUCAGAGGUGAAAGCCCGGGGCUCAACCCCGGAACGGCCUUUGAAACUAGAUAACUAGAAUCUUGGAGAGGUCAGUGGAAUUCCGAGUGUAGAGGUGAAAUUCGUAGAUAUUCGGAAGAACACCAGUGGCGAAGGCGACUGACUGGACAAGUAUUGACGCUGAGGUACGAAAGCGUGGGGAGCAAACAGGAUUAGAUACCCUGGUAGUCCACGCCGUAAACGAUGAUAACUAGCUGUCCGGACACUUGGUNUUUGGGUGGCCGNNGCUACGCAUUAGUUAUACGUCCGUGGGAGGUACGGUCGCGAGAGUUAAACGUUAAACGGUAAAGUUAGUACGGCGUAAGUAGACGUUGCGACGGACGACGACGAGGGAGGAGG
Molecule: ribosomal RNA, 609 nt
Filed under: uncultured bacterium
Lineage: Bacteria
Description: bacterial SSU rRNA
Rfam family: Bacterial small subunit ribosomal RNA (bases 1-517)
Source: RNAcentral